This 82-nucleotide transfer RNA is filed under the name Candidatus Rifleibacteriota bacterium. RNAcentral's name for it is "tRNA-Leu". It matches the Rfam family "tRNA". From Rfam's summary of the family: Transfer RNA (tRNA) molecules are approximately 80 nucleotides in length. Their secondary structure includes four short double-helical elements and three loops (D, anti-codon, and T loops). Further hydrogen bonds mediate the characteristic L-shaped molecular structure. tRNAs have two regions of fundamental functional importance: the anti-codon, which is responsible for specific mRNA codon recognition, and the 3' end, to which the tRNAs corresponding amino acid is attached (by aminoacyl-tRNA synthetases). tRNAs cope with the degeneracy of the genetic code in two manners: having more than one tRNA (with a specific anti-codon) for a particular amino acid; and 'wobble' base-pairing, i.e. permitting non-standard base-pairing at the 3rd anti-codon position. The record is from RNAcentral. Lineage: Bacteria; Candidatus Rifleibacteriota.
GCGAGGAUGGCGAAACUGGCAGACGCGCAAGACUUAGGAUCUUGUGGUGACCACCGUGCGGGUUCAAGUCCCGCUCCUCGCA